Molecule: unclassified non-coding RNA, 257 nt
Filed under: plant metagenome
Description: partial contains small subunit ribosomal RNA, internal transcribed spacer 1, and 5.8S ribosomal RNA
Source: RNAcentral
UUUCCGUAGGUGAACCUGCGGAAGGAUCAUUAUUGUAAAACCGAGGUGCGAGGGCUGUCGCUGACCUUUUCGGUCGUGCACGCUCGAGCGCUCUCACACUAUCCAUCUCACCCCUUGUGCACCACCGCGUGGGUCCCUUUCUGGCUCGUCCGGAGGGAGGCUCGCGUUUUCACACAAACUUGAAGUAGUGUAGAAUGUCCUUUUUUUGCGAUAACACGCAAUCAAUACAACUUUCAACAACGGAUCUCUUGGCUCUC